Cavia aperea (Brazilian guinea pig) is the source of this 87-nucleotide ribosomal RNA. Lineage: Eukaryota; Metazoa; Chordata; Mammalia; Rodentia; Caviidae. The record is from Ensembl.
GUCUAUGGCCAUAUCACUGUAAAUGUGCCUAAUUUCUGGUUAGUGCUUAGAUGGGAGACCACCCGGGAAUACUGGGUGCUGUAGGCU